ACGAGAGUCGAUAGAAACUAACUUGCCGAGACUACAAGUUUCGAUUCCUUAUAGAGCAUUUUCGAUACAAUUGUGUCCGUAUCAGUGAAAGUCGAUGCGUUCCUGGAAAUGCGAACGGAUUGAGUUUCAUGUUCUCUUUUCUGCAGCAGAAUAUUUCAGUGGCUUUUCAGAACUUCAUUCUAGUGGCGACAGUUUGCCUUUGCUGUAGUGUAUGGCAAGAACCCAGAACACAGUCAUGUUUAUUGCAGAUCUACUGCAGGGCUUGUUCCGCGGGUUUAGUGCAGAUCUACUGCAGGGCUUGUUCCUCGGGUUUAUUGCAAAUCUACUGCAGGGCUUGUUCCUCGGGUUUAUUGCAGAUCUACUGCAGGGCUUGUUCCGCGGGUUUAUUGCAGAUCUACUGCAGGGCUUGUUCCGCUGCCACUGCUGAUAUACAGUCAGUUCUGUGACUGUUGGAGAGCCAGAGAGACCAAGCUUCAAGAGAGGACAUGAGAUGAUCAUGAUGAUGGUACACAGAACACGGAUUGUCAAGUGCACCGUGCAGUGAAGUCACUCCACAACACGGCACAAAGGGAGUCUAUCCAGCAGAUCGUGGCAGCCAGCGUGGCAGCAGCCCUCAGCGGCAACGCACCGGAGACCGUCACGGAGCACCAAGAAGACGGGUCGCAAGCCGCGCGCAUAACAUCCCGCCGGAUGUCCACCUCCCGCCGUAGGAUCGCCUACAGACACCACCGCCGCAAGCAAUGGCUCCGCGAGCCAACGCUUCGAAGCCCGCUGUCUAUUGUUCUGUGUGCCUAUCCAAGGUCGCUAGCCCCGCUCGCAUUACAUCCCGCCGAACAUAUAACUCCCGCCGGAGAAUCGCUUACAGACACUGCCGCUGCAAGCAACGGCUCCACCGAACCAAGGCUUCGCCGCCUGCUGUCUGUUGUUCUGUGUGUCUGUCCAGGGUCACCAUCCCCGCUUGCAUAACAUCCCGCCGGAUGUCCACCUCCCGCCGGAGGAUCGCUUACCGCCGAAAGUAACGGCUACGCAAGCCAACGCUUACGUGCCACCCCCAUGCGUCCACCCGCAAGGCUAAGUACCUAUGGGUUAGGCCAAUAGCAGAGGCUCCCACCCCACAGGGCUGGGGGAGGGGGGCUCUCGGGUCGUAUUUGCAUUAGCCCCACAGGAUGAGGGCGAACCUCUGCCAAACCAGUACAGGAACGCCCCGCCGAGGUCAGGGGGAGAUUUCCCACUAGCAUAAACCACGGGUCCUCUGCUUACAAUCCGCAGCCACGCCGCCGAGCCAGUGUGUUCCGGGAAGCGGGCCGCUGUUCGGCGACCCGGUGCAGCACACAUACACCGCAGCGCGGCCGACCUACCAUCCUGCCUGUUUAGGAAACAUGCGCGUGUGCCUGCGUAUGGGUGUGUGCGUUUUGUGUUGCAUGCACUUGUGCCUGUGUCCUUCUAGGCUCGCUAGCCGCCGCUCUCUCAGCGAGAGCAGAGCACCUGAUUGCCAACUCGGUAGCCACUGGCACACAGCGCACGUACGCCCCAGGCUGGCGUGCAUUCCUGGAGUUCAUGGGUCGCAUGCGCCGCGACGCACAUCACCCAGAUCAGAACAAUGUCCUGCUGUUCGCUGCCGCAAUGUCUCACUCAGUCAGCGCCAGCACUCUGAGAGUCUACCUGGCCGCGAUCGAAUAGCACCUCCUCCACAUGCGAGACCCGGUCUGGGUUAUAUCCUCAAGCCGCAUCACAGCCCUGCUCAAGGGCUUAGAGAGGGAGAGAGCGUCGCUUCCCAGGCAUCCGUCAGCACGCCCUCAGCGCCAAGCGAUCACCGUCCACCAGCUGAAGGCUCUCCGCCAGUUCUUGGAUCGGUCCUUGUACUCCCCGGCAGACAAACUAAUGCUAUGGGCUGCUCUUACGACAGCCUUCCACGGCCUGCUGCUGCGUGUGAGUGAGUACACGUCGCUGUCACCACACGUUCCCGGUUAGACCAGCAGGAGGCCUAUCUGCAGCUCCAGAGGAAUAACACGUCUCAAUUAACAACAGGCGGGGAGGUAGCGCUGCAUCGCUACGCUGACCCCGCACUAUGUCCCGUCCGAGCCCAGGCUUACGUUCGGUCCAGCAAAUGGAGCAAUGACAAGCAACCCUAUUCAAGUUUCAGGAUGGUCGCCAUCUCACGCCGAACGACAUCAAUGCUGUCCUACACAAAGUGCUAGGUCCAAGCAUCAGCAGCCAUUCCUUACGCGCCGGGGGAGCCACACACAUGGUGGAUCGAGGCGCACCAGAGUAUGCCCUGAUGGCUGCAGGCCGCUGGUCCAGCAGGGCAUAUCGCACGUACAUUCUCAGGCCCGCAGGCAUGCCACAGCACUACUAGAGCCUGCGUGUCGCAAGCCAUUCGGUACCUUUAUUGGAGGUACGGGUGCUGCUGAUGGGCGCCGCAUAUUGCACGCACAUCGGCACCAUUGAACUAUUCAUGUGUACUAAGAUUUAGUAUUCCGCUGCCAUAGCAACCUAGUAGUACACGUAGCCGUUCUGACGGCGCAGGACCCCGCGGGUCGCUUCUGCUGUCCUUGCCUCUCUGAUGUGUGAUAUGUGUACAUCAUUUAUAAUCAUAACCUCAUACUGAGUACAUGUACGUCAUACUUGAUUACCGAUCACAGGCUCAUGAUUAUUCACGCUGGAAUAAACGCUUGCGACACCCCA
Molecule: RNA transcript, 2685 nt
Organism: Sycon ciliatum
Lineage: Eukaryota; Metazoa; Porifera; Calcarea; Leucosolenida; Sycettidae
Exons: 3
Source: RefSeq, a predicted model, not a curated record